UUAGGGAGGGGGACUACAUCGUGGCGGUGGACGGUCUGGACUGUAAGUGGUCCAAACACGGAGAGGUGGUCGACCUGCUGAGGAGAGACGGAGGGGCGGAGCUUAGCGUGGUCACUCUGCACUCACACGACACACAGGUGGAGAGGCGGAGCCUCAUGGUUUCCCACGGCGACAAGGAGAACACACGGCAGCGUCUGGUGGGCGGAGCUAAAGGCCAGAGCUCCGCCUCCCUGCUGAACUGGAACAGGAAGAAGAAAAGGGAAGGAGGCGGAGCCACCAAGAGACGAGGGGGGGCCACCUUCAGUCUGUCCUUUGGGACCAUCAGAGACCCUGAGGACAUGUACUGAUCCAGGACCAGGACUGAACCAGGACCAGGACUGAUCCAGGACCAGGACUGAUCCAGGGCUGAGGAGGACCAUGUACUGACCCGGGACAGGACUCAGGGACCCAGCAGUGACUGGUGGUCCUGACUGACGGCUGCAGCAGGAACCUGAUCAGGGAUCAGACGGUCCGAUCAGGAUCAUCCAGAGAAACCUGCUGCCGUCCUGAUCAGUCCUGAUCAGUCCUGAUCAGUCCUGGAUCUGGAUCAGUCCUGAUCAGUCCUGAUCAGUCCUGGACUCUAACAGGAGACUCUGAAGACCUGCUGCAGACUGAAGAAACCAGCUCAGAGUCCCGUCUUGUGGUCCAGUUUUAACCCGUUAAAGGAGGAAAUCAUUUCCACAUUUCUACCAUUAAACCUGUUGGGAGCUGUUGUGUUAUUCUACCAUUAAAGGUGGAAAGAGGAUACGUGGUUUUGUAGUAUUUGUAGUUUUUUCCACCUAUUUUUAGCACCUAUGUUUAUAUGUCUGGUGCAACUAAAUUUGUUUGGACAAAUAUAAUGAUAACAACAAAAAUAUCUGAUAAGAGUUUAAUUUAAGAGCUGAUAUCUAGACAUUUAACAUGGUUUUAUUGAUAAUAACCAACAUCAUUAUUAAAUCAUUAUCAAGAUUAUCAUUAUUUUUGGUCAUUUUGUGUCUUUUCCGAUCAUUUUACGUCUAUUUUUGGUCAAUUUGUUUCUAGUUUGAUAAUUUUGUGUCAUUUUUUAGUCAUUUUUACAUAUAUUUUUGGUCCUUUUGUCUUUUUUGGUCAUUUUGUAUCAUUUUUACAUCUAUUUUUGGUCCAUUUGUUUUCUUUUUGGUCAUUUUUAUGUCUUUUAGGUCAAUUUGUGUCUUUAUUGGUAAUUUUUAUGUCUAUUUUUGGUAAUUUUGUAUCGUUUUUAGUCAUUUCUGCAUCUAUUUUUGAUCAUUUUGUGUCUUUUUUUAGUAUUUUUUACAUCUACAGUCAUGGAAACAUUCUUGAUAAUAACCAUAAUCACGAUCAAUAAAACCAUGUUAAAUGUCUAGAUAUCAGCUCUUAAAUUAAACUCUUAUCAGAUAUUGUUGUUGUUAUCAUUAUAUUUGUCCAAACAAAUGAACCUUUAGUUGAACCAGACAUUAAAAUGAACCAGAAACUGAAGAAAACAAGGAGGUCUGAUCAUUAUUUUCCAUGAUGUUUCCUGAUGAUUCUCUGUGUAUCAGCUGUAAAUAUUUAGUAGAUAUGAAGGAAAACAAAGUAAAAUCUUCUGAAAACAUUCAUGUAAACAGAAGAGUUCCAUAUUUCACGUGUUUAAUCAUGUGUUGAUACUUUAAUAACAAUCAGCAGAUAUUAAUGUUAGUGUUGUUGUUUAGAUGAUUGAAUCACUGAUGUUUUCUAGUUUUGGUGUUUUAAUGAACUGUGAAUAUUGAAUGUUAAUAAUGUAGCUGUGACUUUUCAGUUUUUGUGUAUUUGAAAUGUGACAUGUUGUUUAUUUUGUCCUCGUGGGUCCAGCCAGUGUCCCGUCCUGUUUAUAUUUUAUCUCAUUUUAUCGUUUUACAGGUUUUUCUUUUGUUUGCCAUUAAAAGCUGAAUUACUUUUAUUACAAAUAUUAACCACGAAAUAAAAGUUGAAAUCUGUAAAGUGAUAAAUUGGGACAUUAUAUAAAUAUUCAGUGUUAUUGAAUUGCGUAAUGUUCUUAAAUGUUAAACAGUGAAUUCUAUAUAAAAAUAAAAAUAAAUACACAUCAUACUGCUGAAUGUAAAA
Centropristis striata (black sea bass) is the source of this 2097-nucleotide long non-coding RNA. RefSeq lists it as uncharacterized. The record is from RefSeq and is a predicted model, not a curated record. The transcript has 2 exons. Lineage: Eukaryota; Metazoa; Chordata; Actinopteri; Perciformes; Serranidae.